GUCACUUUGGCAGCACACGUACUAAAACUGGAACAAUACAGAGACAAUUAGCAUGGCCUCUGUGCAAGGAUGACAUGCAAACUCAUGAAGCAUUACAGAUUUUU
This is a small nuclear RNA of Lemur catta (Ring-tailed lemur), 104 nucleotides long. NCBI's taxonomy places the organism in Eukaryota, Metazoa, Chordata, Mammalia, Primates, Lemuridae. The record is from RefSeq and is a predicted model, not a curated record.